GUGGAGGUGGCCGAGUGGUUAAGGCGUUUGGCUGCUAACCAAAUGGGUUCUCCCGCAUGAGUUCGAAUCUCAUCCUUCACG
This is a transfer RNA of Ramazzottius varieornatus, 81 nucleotides long. It matches the Rfam family "tRNA". From Rfam's summary of the family: Transfer RNA (tRNA) molecules are approximately 80 nucleotides in length. Their secondary structure includes four short double-helical elements and three loops (D, anti-codon, and T loops). Lineage: Eukaryota; Metazoa; Tardigrada; Eutardigrada; Parachela; Ramazzottiidae. The record is from Rfam.